AACACAUGCAAGUCGAACGGCAGCACAGGAGAGCUUGCUCUCUGGGUGGCGAGUGGCGGACGGGUGAGGAAUACAUCGGAAUCUACUCUGUCGUGGGGGAUAACGUAGGGAAACUUACGCUAAUACCGCAUACGACCUACGGGUGAAAGCAGGGGAUCUUCGGACCUUGCGCGAUUGAAUGAGCCGAUGUCGGAUUAGCUAGUUGGCGGGGUAAAGGCCCACCAAGGCGACGAUCCGUAGCUGGUCUGAGAGGAUGAUCAGCCACACUGGAACUGAGACACGGUCCAGACUCCUACGGGAGGCAGCAGUGGGGAAUAUUGGACAAUGGGCGCAAGCCUGAUCCAGCCAUACCGCGUGGGUGAAGAAGGCCUUCGGGUUGUAAAGCCCUUUUGUUGGGAAAGAAAUCCAGCUGGCUAAUACCCGGUUGGGAUGACGGUACCCAAAGAAUAAGUACCGGCUAACUUCGUGCCAGCAGCCGCGGUAAUACGAAGGGUGCAAGCGUUACUCGGAAUUACUGGGCGUAAAGCGUGCGUAGGUGGUCGUUUAAGUCCGUUGUGAAAGCCCUGGGCUCAACCUGGGAACUGCAGUGGAUACUGGGCGACUAGAGUGUGGUAGAGGGUAGCGGAAUUCCUGGUGUAGCAGUGAAAUGCGUAGAGAUCAGGAGGAACAUCCAUGGCGAAGGCAGCUACCUG
This 692-nucleotide ribosomal RNA is filed under the name uncultured Pseudomonadota bacterium. RNAcentral's name for it is "bacterial SSU rRNA". It matches the Rfam family "Bacterial small subunit ribosomal RNA", at positions 50 to 731 of the family's 1533-position model. Lineage: Bacteria; Pseudomonadati; Pseudomonadota. The record is from RNAcentral.